GCUUAUAUUAGCAUAAGUUGUAAUUUGCCCGGAAUUCCUCAUCCAACCUUCGCUAGGGACCCUGUGCCAUUUCUUCUUGCUCCUAAUGUAAGCAAUCAAUUAGGAUUAGAAGCAGCUGUUGAAGCAACUGCUGAAUUUCUGAACAAAGCUGUGAAACCUGUCAUUGUGGGGGGACCUAAAUUAAGGGUGGCAAAGGCGCAGGAGGCCUUUUUAGAGCUUGCAGAUGCCAGUACGUAUCCAUUAGCUGUUAUGCCCUCAGGCAAAGGGCUAGUGCCAGAACAGCAUCCACAUUUCAUUGGGACAUAUUGGGGUGCUGUCAGCACUAGCUUUUGUGGGGAGAUAGUGGAGUCUGCUGAUGCCUAUAUUUUUGUUGGCCCCAUCUUCAAUGAUUACAGCUCUGUUGGAUAUUCCUUGCUGAUCAGGAAGGAGAAGGCGAUCGUAGUGCAACCUAAUCGUGUGACUAUAGGCAAUGGCCCCUCCUUUGGCUGGGUAUUUAUGGCUGACUU
Molecule: unclassified non-coding RNA, 506 nt
Filed under: Hevea brasiliensis (rubber tree)
Lineage: Eukaryota; Viridiplantae; Streptophyta; Magnoliopsida; Malpighiales; Euphorbiaceae
Source: RNAcentral